GAAUUUUAUAUAAAAUUUAUAAUAAAAUUUAAAAUUAUAAUUUAGUUUAAUAUAAAAUUUUAUAUUUAAUUGGGAGGAUUGUUAAAUUUUAUUAACUUUAAUUAAAAUAAAUAAUAUAAAUUAAUAAAUUAAAGAAUGGUUGAUAAAUUAAAUAAGAAUUAAUUACCUUAGGGAUAACAGCAUAAUACUUUUGGAGAGACCAUAUCGAUAAUAGUGUUUGU
This 221-nucleotide ribosomal RNA is filed under the name Megalomyrmex cf. longinoi. RNAcentral describes it as "partial large subunit ribosomal RNA". The record is from RNAcentral. Lineage: Eukaryota; Metazoa; Arthropoda; Insecta; Hymenoptera; Formicidae.